RNAcentral lists this long non-coding RNA (215 nucleotides) under Eucalyptus grandis. RNAcentral's name for it is "long non-coding RNA (EGRA_LNC003896)". Lineage: Eukaryota; Viridiplantae; Streptophyta; Magnoliopsida; Myrtales; Myrtaceae. The record is from RNAcentral.
AUUAACACCAUGAAAACUAGACUUCAGGCAAGAUUCAAUCCUUGUGUGCUCAACCAAUCCUUUUGUUCCUCUGUCCUCCGAUUGUCGCGCUGCACAAACUUCGAGUGCAAAUUGGUUGUUGGGAGGCUGUUGCAACAAAUAAUGUUGUUUAGCUCUUACUGCUGCGACCAUAGUGACUAGAAAUGAAUUUUCUUUCAAUGAGUAUUGUUUGCUGC